Molecule: ribosomal RNA, 253 nt
Filed under: uncultured bacterium
Lineage: Bacteria
Description: partial 16S ribosomal RNA
Rfam family: Bacterial small subunit ribosomal RNA
Source: RNAcentral
UACGUAGGGCGCGAGCGUUGUCCGGAAUCAUUGGGCGUAAAGAGCGCGUAGGCGGUCCGGUAAGUCCGCUCUGAAAGUCCGGGGCUCAACCCCGGGAGGCGGGCGGAUACUGUCGGGCUAGAGUCCGGAAGAGGCGAGUGGAAUUCCUGGUGUAGCGGUGAAAUGCGCAGAUAUCAGGAGGAACACCGAUGGCGAAGGCAGCUCGCUGGGACGGUACUGACGCUGAGGCGCGAAAGCGUGGGGAGCAAACAGG